This 324-nucleotide ribosomal RNA is filed under the name Triticum aestivum (bread wheat). RNAcentral's name for it is "partial small subunit ribosomal RNA". Lineage: Eukaryota; Viridiplantae; Streptophyta; Magnoliopsida; Poales; Poaceae. The record is from RNAcentral.
AUGGUCCACAGCAAGAUUACCUACUACAACUUAUUGACUCCUGAGCUCCAAGCGGAGAUCCAGACGGCUACAACAGGCUCUGCACAACUUUCAGCACAACAAGUGCCUCUGCGGUGCUCCCCUCCCUCCAUACAAGAAAUAGAUAGAAAUACAACAAGUGACUUUGAUAGAGUAAUAACGAGAUGUUGGUAUUGCCAUGUCGAUCAAUUCGACUGUACAUUGAUGUGUCAUAUGUAUGGAGAACACAUUUUACUCAUUUCAAAUAUUGGUCCUCAAUUUAAAAAAAAACUUCUACUUCAGGAAACUACUUUCCCUAAUUUCUAA